GACGAACGCUGGCGGCGUGCUUAACACAUGCAAGUCGAACGGAAAGGCCCUGCUUUUGUGGGGUGCUCGAGUGGCGAACGGGUGAGUAACACGUGAGUAACCUGCCCUUGACUUUGGGAUAACUUCAGGAAACUGGGGCUAAUACCGGAUAGGAGCUCCUGCAGCAUGGUGGGGGUUGGAAAGUUUCGGCGGUUGGGGAUGGACUCGCGGCUUAUCAGCUUGUUGGUGGGGUAGUGGCUUACCAAGGCUUUGACGGGUAGCCGGCCUGAGAGGGUGACCGGCCACAUGGGGCCUGAGAUACGGCCCAGACUCCUACGGGAGGCAGCAGUGGGGAGUAUUGCACAAUGGGCGGAAGCCUGAUGCAGCAACGCCGCGUGCGGGAUGACGGCCUUCGGGUUGUGAACCGCUGUCGCCUGUGACGAAGCGUGAGUGACGGUAAUGGGUAAAGAAGCACCGGCUAACUACGUG
This 468-nucleotide ribosomal RNA is filed under the name uncultured bacterium. RNAcentral's name for it is "partial 16S ribosomal RNA". It matches the Rfam family "Bacterial small subunit ribosomal RNA", at positions 28 to 507 of the family's 1533-position model. The record is from RNAcentral.